AAAAUUAGAAAAAAUUAGAAAAACUUAGGAAAAAUCAAAAAAAAUCAGAAAAAAUCAGAAAAAAACGGAAAAAAUCAGGAAGAAUCAAAAAAAAAAUUGGGAAUGAAUGUGGGAUGGUUUAACUUCAGUUGCAUAUCAUGAAACGCAUCCAGGAACAGAGGAAGAUGCGUCGAUUGAAAAAUCAAAGAAAAAAGCGAAAAAACAAGGAAAAAUUAGGGAACGAUUCUGGUAUGAUGCAGCUGGGUCGCAUUUGUUGGCAUUUUGAUGGUCCCGCUCGUUCACCCUGACGUCUGGGGCUCUACGCGCAAAUGACGUUUGCAGGUAACCCCCCAGAUCAGAGAAAAUUGAGAGAAUUCAUUCAAUGUACAAUUUCUAACGCUUGACAUGUGCAAAGUGCAGCGCACUCUACUCUCCUCCUUGAAUCUCGAAACAUUCUCCAAAAGGUCGUACAGAAAGCCACAAGUUCGAAUCUGGCUUGCUCGGAGCCCCACAGGUUACCUGCAUCUCGGAGCCCUUAGUACAGCUCUGUGCAACUAUUCAUAGGCUCAGGCAAACCAAGGAAUUCUUAUUCUACCCUUAGAAGACGUGGAUCAAACAGAACUUGUACCAAAUGCUGCCGGUAAACUCCAAGAGCCUUUAUUCUGGGCUCGCAUCAUUCCAGACAAACUAACGAUGUACUCGUGAUUAUAUUUAAUUAAAUACAUCGGGUAUUAUUGCGAACAAUCCAAUUAAUAAUUUUAUGUCAAGCAAAAUGAAAGCAUUGCUCAUAACAUUGUAAAGCAAUAGUCAUAGGAAUUAAUUUAUACAUAUUUGGAGAUGAACCUACCCAUAAUAUACGUACAUUAUGAUGUCCCGAUACAUGAUUUCUUCUAAUUUAUUUAUUAAUAAACAUAUACUAUCAAAA
Molecule: long non-coding RNA, 904 nt
Organism: Athalia rosae (coleseed sawfly)
Lineage: Eukaryota; Metazoa; Arthropoda; Insecta; Hymenoptera; Athaliidae
Exons: 2
Source: RefSeq, a predicted model, not a curated record